UCUACGGGUGGCAGCAGUGGGGGAUAUUGCACAAUGGGGGGAACCCUGAUGCAGCGACGCCGCGUGGGUGAAGGAGCGUUUCGGCGCGUAAAGCCCUAUCGGCAGGGAAGAAGGAGGACGGUACCUGACUAAGAAGCCCCGGCUAACUACGUGCCAGCAGCCGCGGUAAUACGUAGGGGGCAAGCGUUAUCCGGAUUUACUGGGUGUAAAGGGGGCGCAGACGGCAGCGCAAGCCAGGAGUGAAAGCCCGGGGCGCAACCCCGGGACUGCUCUUGGAACUGCGCGGGUGGAGUGCAGGAGGGGCAGGCGGAAUUCCUGGUGUAGCGGUGAAAUGCGUAGAUAUCAGGAGGAACACCGGUGGCGAAGGCGACCUGCUAGAACAUAACUGACGCUGAUGCGCGAAAGCGUGGGGAGCAAACAGGAUUAGAUACCCCUGUAGUC
This 441-nucleotide ribosomal RNA is filed under the name uncultured bacterium. RNAcentral describes it as "partial 16S ribosomal RNA". It matches the Rfam family "Bacterial small subunit ribosomal RNA", at positions 338 to 795 of the family's 1533-position model. The record is from RNAcentral.